RNAcentral lists this ribosomal RNA (520 nucleotides) under uncultured Glomus. RNAcentral's name for it is "SSU rRNA". It matches the Rfam family "Eukaryotic small subunit ribosomal RNA", at positions 569 to 1091 of the family's 1831-position model. Lineage: Eukaryota; Fungi; Glomeromycota; Glomeromycetes; Glomerales; Glomeraceae. The record is from RNAcentral.
AGCAGCCGCGGUAAUUCCAGCUCCAAUAGCGUAUAUUAAAGUUGCUGCAGUUAAAAAGCUCGUAGUUGAAUUUCGGGAUCAAUAUGUUGGUCGUGCCUCGGUACGUACUAGCUUAUUGGUUUCUCCCUUCUGACGAACCAUGAUGUCAUUUAUUUGGUGUUAUGGGAAAUCAGGACUGUUACUUUGAAAAAAUUAGAGUGUUUAAAGCUGGCUCACGCUUGAAUACAUUAGCAUGGAAUAAUGAAAUAGGACGUUUGAUUCUAUUUUGUUGGUUUCUAGGAUCGACGUAAUGAUUAAUAGGGAUAGUUGGGGGCAUUAGUAUUCAAUUGUCAGAGGUGAAAUUCUUGGAUUUAUUGAAGACUAACUACUGCGAAAGCAUUUGCCAAGGAUGUUUUCAUUAAUCAAGAACGAAAGUUAGGGGAUCGAAGACGAUCAGAUACCGUCGUAGUCUUAACCAUAAACUAUGCCGACUAGGGAUCGGAUGAUGUUAAUUUUUUUAAUGACUCAUUCGGCGCCUUAC